Nicotiana tabacum (common tobacco) is the source of this 571-nucleotide non-coding RNA. The record is from RefSeq and is a predicted model, not a curated record. Lineage: Eukaryota; Viridiplantae; Streptophyta; Magnoliopsida; Solanales; Solanaceae.
UGUCUUGACUUUUCCAACAUCAUGCAUUAAGGGAGUGAGCACACAGCAGGGCACUUCUUAUAAACUUCAUUUGUUCAAAACACAUCACAAUGAGCGACUUGUAUAUGUCUUCCCUUUUACUCCAUCACCGUAGCUCAAAAUAACAUCAGUUUUUUUUUUUUAGGGGGUGGGGGGGUUCUGCUUUUGUCAGUCUGUAUUUGUGCAUCACAAGUUUAGGGAGAAGUUUCUGUUCGAUACAAUUUUCAAUGACUUAGGUGUAGAUUCUUUUACUUUCCAAUAUCAUUAGUACGAUCUCAUGAUUCUUCUUCUGUCUUUUGCAGUGGGUACUUUCACCAAAAUAUUUCAAUUUCCCAUUUCCAAUUACACUUACCAUGAUACAUAUGGGCUUUUCAGGCUUAGUAGCUUUCGUUCUUAUCCGUGUGUUCAAGGUUGUAUCACCUGUCAAGAUGACUCUUGAAAUAUAUGCGACGUGUGUUAUUCCAAUCAGCGCUUUCUUCGCUGCAAGUCUUUGGUUUGGCAACACUGCUUAUCUAUUCAUUUCUGUGGCCUUCAUCCAGAUGCUCAAAGCUCU